GGGGUUGUGGCUCAGUAAUAUAGAGUGCUUGCCUGGCAUGUAUGAGGCACUGGGUUCAAUUCUCAGCACCA
Molecule: transfer RNA, 71 nt
Filed under: Urocitellus parryii (Arctic ground squirrel)
Lineage: Eukaryota; Metazoa; Chordata; Mammalia; Rodentia; Sciuridae
Also listed under: 2 other names
Description: Spermophilus parryii (Arctic ground squirrel) tRNA
Rfam family: tRNA
About the family: Transfer RNA (tRNA) molecules are approximately 80 nucleotides in length.
Source: Rfam by way of RNAcentral